RNAcentral lists this long non-coding RNA (2613 nucleotides) under Marmota monax (woodchuck). The record is from RNAcentral. Lineage: Eukaryota; Metazoa; Chordata; Mammalia; Rodentia; Sciuridae.
GGAAUUCCAAAACUGUUAAAAACAGAUAAUGGCCCUGGCUAUAUCUCUACUUCUUUUAAGCAAUUUUGCUUAUCAUUUGGCAUUACUCAUAUACCAGGAAUCCCGUAUAAUCCACAGGGCCAAGGCAUAGUUGAAAGAGCUCACCAAACUAUUGAAAGGUAUUUAUUAAAACAAAAAGAUGGAAUUGGGAAGGGGUAUACAUCCCCCAUAGAUAAACUUAAAUCAACCCUUUUUACAUUAAACUUUUUAAGUUUGGAUUCAUUAGGGCUUAGUGCUGCAGAAAGGCACAUGUGUCCAAAAAAUAUACAUAAGCCUAAGGUACUUUGGAAGGAUAUUCUAACAGGACAAUGGAAAGGUCCUUACCCAGUGAUCGUCUGGAGUCGGAGAUCUGUUUGUGUGUUUCCACAGGGAGAACAGCAGCCGAUUUGNAGGGGUAUACAUCUCCCAUAGAUAAACUUAAAUCAACCCUUUUUACAUUAAACUUUUUAAGUUUGGAUUCAUUAGGGCUUAGUGCUGUGGAAAGGCACAUGUGUCCAAAAAAUAUACAUAAGCCUAAGGUACUUUGGAAGGAUAUUCUAACAGGACAAUGGAAAGGUCCUUACCCAGUGAUCGUCUGGAGUCGGAGAUCUGUUUGUGUGUUUCCACAGGGAGAACAGCAGCUGAUUUGGAUUCCAAGAGAAUAACUAAAGUGAUUUUUACAAACCAAAAAGGAGAUGAUUUGGCUCAAAGUCCAUAACAGCUGAUAUCCAGAACUCCAGUUUAGCUAUCCUUACAUCUGCAACAAUGGUUCUCUCACACCUGGAGGCUAAUGAGUAAUGAGCAUCAUAAGGGCCUAUUUCAAAUGUAAAAAACCUUAAGACUUACAUUUGGAAAUACCAUCAAACCCAUAUGCAAAUUACAAGAAGAAGGAUGAGAUAUCAAAAGAAGAGUCAAACCAAAGUUGUAACUAGGAUGCUUUUCUCAAUAUCUAUUUUAUUAUGUCCUAUUUUAUUUUUUGAGCUCAUACNGUGUUUCCACAGGGAGAACAGCAGCCGAUUUGGAUUCCAGAGAGACUAACUAAAGUGAUUUCUACAAACCAAAAAGGAGAUUAUUUGGCUCAAAGUCCAUAACAGCUGAUAUCCAGAACUCCAGUUUAGCUAUCCUUACAUCUGCGACAGUGGUUCUCCCACACCUGGAGGCUAAUGAGUAAUGAGCACCAUAAGGGCCUAUUUCAAAUGUAAAAAUCCUUGAGAUUUACUUGUGGAAAUAUCAUCAAACCCAUAUGCAAAUUACAAGAAGAAGGAUGAGAUAUCAAAAGAAGAGUCAAACCAAAGUUGUAACUAGGAUGCUUUUCUCAAUAUCUAUUUUAUUAUGUCCUAUUUUAUUUUUUGAGCUCAUACAGAGCUAGGUAAAUGUUUUUGCGAUCAGUUCUAUUUUUUUUUAUUAACUGUGGAGCUUUUAAACAUUGCAAUAGAAAUUUUACCUGUGAAAAACUAUAAGGCCUUUACUGUUGUGUUGUGUGUACACACUUGUGUUAUGUGUUGUCUGUAUGUGUGUAUGUCCAUAUAUAUUAUAUGAGGAGCGCUCAUGAAAAAAAUGGAUCCAAAUAUAUUUUUCUUAUUCACAUGAUUGAAACAGUUUAAUUUAAAUUAGGUAACAAAAAUAGGAGAUUAACAGAUCUGUUUUUUUUUUUACUUUCAACUUUCUUUUUCAUUUUAUCUAAUUCUGUUCAGAAUAAUUCUUAGUGCCUGCUGGAAAGUUAUACAAUUUUUUGGUCAAUAUUGCCAGAAUUCCUAUCUUCAUCCCAGUGCCAGUGAAGACAAAGGUACAAGAAUUUCCAGUAUUACUGAAAAAACAAAUGCAACUUCAGAAUUACAGCCACCAUCAUCACAACUGUUGCUGUUUCUGCUGCCGCUACUACAGCUUCUGCGAUGGCUGUCACACAAACUGUACAAACUGAUGCAUUAGUAUUUACUUCAAGAAGAAAAAGACAUAUUAAUGGAUUCCUCUGCUUUAAGCUGCUUCCAGAACUUACCUGGAAAAUGUAUCAUUUAUAUGCAUUAUGAACUGAUACAACAAACUGUAAUUAGUACCAGAGUAUCUUUGCUGAUGGUGUCAUUGGUUGUACAAUUUUUCCAAAAGGAGCCAUCAAUUGGCUUGGUAUCAUUGUGUUUUGUAUCUUCCCCCUUCUGCUUGUAGCAGGUUAUCCACAAGUAUGGCUAAUAAUGCUGGGCCGGUAGUCAAUGACAGGUAAGAUCCAAUUGCAAUGGUACCAACCUAAGACGGGAGGCUGACGCCUUGAGGACAGAUCAUCCGAUGAUGGGUAAGGAUCAUAUGAAGUAUUGGAAAACCUAAGACAGGCACAGUCCCUAAGCCACAUACUUGUUGUUUAUAUUAAACAAAAGGGGGAGAUGAAGAGGCCUCAAUGAAGUUAAGAUGGUGCCUGGCAGUAUGCUAGGAGGAGUGGUUUCUGAGCCAAUGACAGCGAGCCAUUAAGAUGAUAAGGAUUCCUUAAUGACUGACUGCUGUAUCUAAUGAUGUUAAUUAAGUUAAGCUGUGUAUAAUUAUUAAGAUGAUGAGGAUUCCUUAAUGACUGAUUGCUGUAACUGGAUGAUGCUAAAUUGAAACAAGCUG